Molecule: long non-coding RNA, 834 nt
Organism: Rosa rugosa (rugosa rose)
Lineage: Eukaryota; Viridiplantae; Streptophyta; Magnoliopsida; Rosales; Rosaceae
Exons: 2
Source: RefSeq, a predicted model, not a curated record
CAGUGACCUGCCCGUUUUGCCCCUGCAUUCUCUUUGGCUUUUUAACUGAUUACCCCGGCAGGUGUACGUCUUCAUUGGCGUCCGAGGCUUUCCGCGUGGCUCUGUUUCCUGGCUCCACGAAGAGAGAACAAUCAAAGAGAAAUCAAGAACGAUCGAGGACUCGAGUCCAGGUGUGUUUCUUUGCUUUGCCCGAAGAGAGAGAGAGAGCAUUUUAUCCUUGGCCUCUGGCUGCUAUUUACCCCUCCGCAUGUGCACCGACUGUUGCUAUCGUGUCUCUAUUCCGAAGAAAGGGGGAGUGGGAGCAAGAGGGAUCAAAGAGUGAGAGAGAGAGAGCGCGAACAGGUCUUCGAUCUUCAAUCGUCUUUGAUUUUCAUCCAUCACUGCUUAACCCAAUUGAUCCCUUUCUCAUUUCAAUUAACUACAUGGGAAAACUGAUUAAGGUUACGGCAUUUGCAGAGAAAAGUUUUCAGGCCUGCGAUCACUGUUGAGGUCCAAAAGACAAGUCUCCUGUUUUGCAUAUUGUUAUUGUUGGUCUUUCAAGUGAUUUAUCUCUCAGAUCAGUUGUGUUCUAGGGGUGAGUUUUUUUUGUUUGUUUGAUGUUAUUGUAUUCUGCUGAUAAUCUGAGAAAAGAAAAGUACAAUAAAAGCAAAUAGAAAAGGCUUUACAUCUAAAGAUACUAUUUUUGUUAUUUCGUUUUCAUUGUUUAGGUAUCCUUUGGUUUAUUUGGAGCUGUUUACAGUAGUGUUAGAUAAAUUUUUCAUAUAAGCUUGCAUUUCGGAAUAAUGUAUAAUGUAUAUGGUAAGAUGUUGUUAUAUGUUAUCUACUCAUUGAUUA